RNAcentral lists this ribosomal RNA (1372 nucleotides) under uncultured bacterium. Its description in RNAcentral is "bacterial SSU rRNA". It matches the Rfam family "Bacterial small subunit ribosomal RNA", at positions 28 to 1381 of the family's 1533-position model. The record is from RNAcentral.
GAUGAACGCUGGCGGCGUGCCUAAUACAUGCAAGUCGAGCGAACGGACGAGAAGCUUGCUUCUCUGAUGUUAGCGGCGGACGGGUGAGUAACACGUGGAUAACCUACCUAUAAGACUGGGAUAACUUCGGGAAACCGGAGCUAAUACCGGAUAAUAUUUUGAACCGCAUGGUUCAAAAGUGAAAGACGGUCUUGCUGUCACUUAUAGAUGGAUCCGCGCUGCAUUAGCUAGUUGGUAAGGUAACGGCUUACCAAGGCAACGAUGCAUAGCCGACCUGAGAGGGUGAUCGGCCACACUGGAACUGAGACACGGUCCAGACUCCUACGGGAGGCGGCAGUAGGGAAUCUUCCGCAAUGGGCGAAAGCCUGACGGAGCAACGCCGCGUGAGUGAUGAAGGUCUUCGGAUCGUAAAACUCUGUUAUUAGGGAAGAACAUAUGUGUAAGUAACUGUGCACAUCUUGACGGUACCUAAUCAGAAAGCCACGGCUAACUACGUGCCAGCAGCCGCGGUAAUACGUAGGUGGCAAGCGUUAUCCGGAAUUAUUGGGCGUAAAGCGCGCGUAGGCGGCUUUUUAAGUCUGAUGUGAAAGCCCACGGCUCAACCGUGGAGGGUCAUUGGAAACUGGAAAACUUGAGUGCAGAAGAGGAAAGUGGAAUUCCAUGUGUAGCGGUGAAAUGCGCAGAGAUAUGGAGGAACACCAGUGGCGAAGGCGACUUUCUGGUCUGUAACUGACGCUGAUGUGCGAAAGCGUGGGGAUCAAACAGGAUUAGAUACCCUGGUAGUCCACGCCGUAAACGAUGAGUGCUAAGUGUUAGGGGGUUUCCGCCCCUUAGUGCUGCAGCUAACGCAUUAAGCACUCCGCCUGGGGAGUACGACCGCAAGGUUGAAACUCAAAGGAAUUGACGGGGACCCGCACAAGCGGUGGAGCGUGUGGUUUAAUUCGAAGCAACGCGAAGAACCUUACCAAAUCUUGACAUCCUUUGACAACUCUAGAGAUAGAGCUUUCCCCUUCGGGGGACAAAGUGACAGGUGGUGCAUGGUUGUCGUCAGCUCGUGUCGUGAGAUGUUGGGUUAAGUCCCGCAACGAGCGCAACCCUUAAGCUUAGUUGCCAUCAUUAAGUUGGGCACUCUAAGUUGACUGCCGGUGACAAACCGGAGGAAGGUGGGGAUGACGUCAAAUCAUCAUGCCCCUUAUGAUUUGGGCUACACACGUGCUACAAUGGACAAUACAAAGGGCAGCGAAACCGUGAGGUCAAGCAAAUCCCAUAAAGUUGUUCUCAGUUCGGAUUGUAGUCUGCAACUCGACUACAUGAAGCUGGAAUCGCUAGUAAUCGUAGAUCAGCAUGCUACGGUGAAUACGUUCCCGGGUCU